Molecule: long non-coding RNA, 708 nt
Filed under: Anas platyrhynchos platyrhynchos (common mallard)
Lineage: Eukaryota; Metazoa; Chordata; Aves; Anseriformes; Anatidae
Description: lncRNA (ENSAPLG00000023953.1)
Source: RNAcentral
AUGCAAACAAUAAAUCUUUUGAGUGCUGUCUUGACCACCCAGGACAUCUGCAGCUCUCCAGGACUGAAGGAGCAUGGAGGUAACAAGCAGGCUCCAGUCCUGUACCUGAACGCUUCCAGUGCCCAAGAAGGGGAAACAGUUUUGGUUCAAUGUACCAUUGAUGAGCAGUUUCCUGCUACACGCGUGUUUUUCUGCAAGAAUGGGCAGGAGGAGUUCAGCCUGAAAGCCCAGCAUGGGAACAUCAACUACUCUCUGGUCCUGACCAUCACGUCGAGAAGUGCUGGGACAUACACAUGUGGGUAUCAGAAGAAGAACGAGAAAAACUGGGUGAAGAACUCUGCUCUCAGUGCUCCCCGGACCCUUUCUGUGCCAGGUUCAAGUGCUGGUGAGACCACCCAGGACAUCCACAGCUCCCCAGCUCCACAUGCCCAGAUCCCGCACACCCUCCCCAUAGGCAUGGUGCUGGCAGUGGCAGCCGUUGGCCUCGUCCUUCUGGCUGCAGGCAGCUGGUUUGUCAUCAAGAAAGGUGCCUGCAGAGGGAGAUGCCCAAGGCAGCAGCACAUUGACAGCCCACAGAUGGAAGACACCAGCAACGGAGAAGUCCAGUACUCCACCAUCGCCCACGUUCGACGGAACAGGCCUCCUCCCAUGCAGCAGAUGAGCGACACCACAACGUAUGCCACGGUGACCCGCACCCAGACCCGAUAG